Molecule: ribosomal RNA, 433 nt
Filed under: uncultured bacterium
Lineage: Bacteria
Description: partial 16S ribosomal RNA
Rfam family: Bacterial small subunit ribosomal RNA
Source: RNAcentral
AACGAACGCUGGCGGCAGGCCUAACACAUGCAAGUCGAACGAGACCUUCGGGUCUAGUGGCGCACGGGUGCGUAACGCGUGGGAACCUGCCCUUAGGUUCGGAAUAACGCCCCGAAAGGGGUGCUAAUACCGGAUAAUGUCUUCCGACCAAAGAUUUAGCGCCUUUGGAUGGGCCCGCGUUGGAUUCGCUAGUUGGUAGGGUAAAAGCGUACCAAGGCGACGAUCGAUAGCUGGUCUGAGAGGAUGAUCAGCCACACUGGUACUGAGACACGGCCCAGAAUCCUACGGGAGGCAGCAGUGGGGAAUCUUGGACAGUGGGCGAAAGCAUGAUCCAGCAAUGCCGCGUGAGUGAUGAAGGCCUUAGGGUUGUAAAGCUCUUUUACACGGGAUGAUAAUGACAGUACCGGGAGAAUAAGCUCCGGCUAACUCCGUG